This is a small nuclear RNA of Eriocheir sinensis (Chinese mitten crab), 108 nucleotides long. NCBI's taxonomy places the organism in Eukaryota, Metazoa, Arthropoda, Malacostraca, Decapoda, Varunidae. The record is from RefSeq and is a predicted model, not a curated record.
GUACAUGCUUCGGCGGUACAUACACUAAAAUUAUAACGAUACAUUGAAGAUUAGCAUAUCCCUUGCGCACGAAUGACACUGUAAAAUCGUGAAGCGUUCCACAUUAAA